RNAcentral lists this long non-coding RNA (516 nucleotides) under Sparus aurata (gilthead seabream). Its description in RNAcentral is "lncRNA (ENSSAUG00010001119.1)". Lineage: Eukaryota; Metazoa; Chordata; Actinopteri; Spariformes; Sparidae. The record is from RNAcentral.
ACAGAAACAGACAUUUGUGUUGGAGUGAACAGCACGAUGCUGCAGCUCCACCUGGACAGCAGACGGUUGAACGGAAGUUUCUGUAACUUUCCUGUUGAGGAAUUUGCUUGUGCCUCGCUGUCAGGGCUGAACGCCGUGGAUCUGGCUGUGUUGUUGACAUGUCAUCGCUCCUCCAACUCCAGCAGCUCCAGACCCGUCUGGAAGCUUCUCCUCUCCAAAGCCUCACAUGUGCUGGAUGAAGCUCUGGAUCUUCUUACCAACAAGACUCUUGACCCCAGAAAUCCUGCAGUGAUGAUGAUUUUGGACGCUGUACGAGAAAUCCGCUUGGAUACAUUCGGCACAGCCGGCCUCAAUAAUCCCGCCCUCAUCCAGCUGUGGUUCAAACGACGACUUCUUCCAUUCCUGCCUGCAGUUUCGACUGACUUCCUGUCAUGUCUCACCACGAAGGGAUUGAACUGCAGCAGCUACCAGCAGAUGUACGCUCAGUUAUUCACUGUCACCUCAGUGAUUAUUUAA